This 614-nucleotide ribosomal RNA is filed under the name uncultured Blastocladiomycota. RNAcentral's name for it is "bacterial SSU rRNA". It matches the Rfam family "Eukaryotic small subunit ribosomal RNA", at positions 624 to 1213 of the family's 1831-position model. Lineage: Eukaryota; Fungi; Blastocladiomycota. The record is from RNAcentral.
AAGCUCGUAGUUGAAUUUCCAGUUCCUUUUUGUUUCGGGCCACUGUGUCUCUAUGGCCAGUGUUGCUUUCCGAAACGGGAACUUUAUUUCUGCUAGGCGCCCGUUUCUUCCAGUUCUGCUGGCGGAGGCGGUUUGUUGCCUAGCACUUUUACUUUGAAAAAAUUAGAGUGUUCAAAGCAGGCUUUUUAAGCUUGAAUAUCUUAGCAUGGAAUAAUAGAAUAGGACUUUGGUUCUAUUUUGUUGGUUUCUAGGACUAGAGUAAUGAUUAAUAGGGAUAGUUGGGGGCAUUAGUAUUUAAUUGUCAGAGGUGAAAUUCUUGGAUUUAGGAAAGACUAACUUCUGCGAAAGCAUUUGCCAAGGAUGUUUUCAUUAAUCAAGAACGAAAGUUAAGGGAUCGAAGAUGAUUAGAUACCAUCGUAGUCUUAACCAUAAACGAUGCCGACCAGGGAUCGGAUGAUUUGUAGUACUUUGUAAGACACAUCCGGCACCUUUUGAGAAAUCAAAGUUUUGGGUUCUGGGGGGAGUAUGGUCGCAAGGCUGAAACUUAAAGGAAUUGACGGAAGGGCACCACCAGGAGUGGAGCCUGCGGCUUAAUUUGACUCAACACGGGAAAA